Molecule: ribosomal RNA, 369 nt
Filed under: uncultured Bordetella sp.
Lineage: Bacteria; Pseudomonadati; Pseudomonadota; Betaproteobacteria; Burkholderiales; Alcaligenaceae
Description: bacterial SSU rRNA
Rfam family: Bacterial small subunit ribosomal RNA
Source: RNAcentral
GGGAGUGCUCGCAAGAGAACCGGAACACAGGUGCUGCAUGGCUGUCGUCAGCUCGUGUCGUGAGAUGUUGGGUUAAGUCUCGCAACGAGCGCAACCCUUGUCAUUAGUUGCUACGAAAGGGCACUCUAAUGAGACUGCCGGUGACAAACCGGAGGAAGGUGGGGAUGACGUCAAGUCCUCAUGGCCCUUAUGGGUAGGGCUUCACACGUCAUACAAUGGUCGGGACAGAGGGUUGCCAACCCGCGAGGGGGAGCUAAUCCCAUAAACCCGAUCGUAGUCCGGAUUGCAGUCUGCAACUCGACUGCAUGAAGUCGGAAUCGCUAGUAAUCGCGGAUCAGCAUGUCCGCGGUCGAAUACGUUCCGGGCCUU